CUCAUCUUCUUACUCCCUCUUCCACAGGCAAGCGAAAGUGACCUAAGAUGAUGUGGAAGUUCUUAAGAAACGCCUGGACCUGGAAAGCCUAGUCCCUUUUCCUGUGUUUCUCUAGGAAGAAAGAUGCUGCAGUAGGCUUUGUACAGCGGAUCUUGCAAAUGUCUUUGGCAGUUUUGCGACUCUCUGUCUGUAAGAUCCCGGCCACGGUUAACACACUGAGGAACCAAACGCCGCUCAGCAUCUUUAGGCACCUUCGGUGUCAACUCAGAUUAAAGGCCAGGACUCAUCCUACUCUGAAAUUUGGCCAAGUGACCACCUUGUCCCACACUCAAGUAUAGACUCUCAAGACCUUAACCUUAUGAUGACAAGAAGAGGCAAAUAAAGGAAAAGAGUCAAGAAUUCCAGAGAAAAUGAUAUUCUUGGAGCUGCUGGUAUCCUUCGAGCUUCGUAUGACUUUGAAAGAAAAAAAAUACCCACUUAAUCCUGAGUGCCUCCAAAUCAUAUUUGCUGAUAAACCCUGGAUUUAAGUUGUAAACAAAUUAAAGAUUAAAAACUUUCCUUUGGCA
This 566-nucleotide long non-coding RNA is filed under the name Homo sapiens (human). RNAcentral describes it as "HSALNT0287068". The record is from RNAcentral. Lineage: Eukaryota; Metazoa; Chordata; Mammalia; Primates; Hominidae.